RNAcentral lists this ribosomal RNA (253 nucleotides) under uncultured bacterium. RNAcentral's name for it is "partial 16S ribosomal RNA". It matches the Rfam family "Bacterial small subunit ribosomal RNA", at positions 524 to 776 of the family's 1533-position model. The record is from RNAcentral.
UACGAAGGGUGCAAGCGUUACUCGGAAUUACUGGGCGUAAAGCGUGCGUAGGUGGUUCGUUAAGUCUGAUGUGAAAGCCCUGGGCUCAACCUGGGAAUGGCAUUGGAAACUGGCGACCUAGAGUGCGGUAGAGGGUAGUGGAAUUCCCGGUGUAGCAGUGAAAUGCGUAGAGAUCGGGAGGAACAUCUGUGGCGAAGGCGACUGCCUGGACAACACCUGACACUGAGGCACGAAAGCUAGGGGAGCAAACAGG